RNAcentral lists this non-coding RNA (952 nucleotides) under Pan troglodytes (chimpanzee). Lineage: Eukaryota; Metazoa; Chordata; Mammalia; Primates; Hominidae. The record is from RNAcentral.
UUUGAUAGAGAAGGGACAGGGAACAGAACCUUCGCCCCCCGCCUGAGCAGCUGGUAGACUAGAUAUCUUCCAAACAUUAUCUCAUUUACUUCCCUGGAGUUACAAAUAGGUAGAUUUCAUGUCCGUUGAGGGGUGAGAAAGCUGAAACUUUGAGACUUAAGAAUCCUGGCCGAGGUCAGCCUCCUCCGAAGCUUCAUCUCUUGCCACCACUUUCUGGUGCACACCUAGGACAGAUUUCAAUCCCUGAGAUCCCAGGAUGAAACCUAUGUUUGCCAAAUACCAGCUACUGUGCCAGAAGAGAUCAUGGAACCAGGUGUGGAAACCUGCUUGAGAAGAGGAGCCAAAACAUCAUAGUUGAACCGUCCUGGAAUAGAAACUCGCCCUGAAUUCUUUCUUGUGUGAAAUCCAAGAGCCCUCUCUUGGGGUUGGAUCAGGACCCUGUUCCUGUAAGAAGUCCACAAUGCCAGAGAAUUAAAGAGAACCACAAAGCUGAACCUCAAAAAGUUAGCCUGGCGAGGGGAGGAUGAUGAGAUUACCCCUCUUGUCACAUAAACAAGGAAGUAAAGGAGGCCCCUUGUGCUCUCAGAACUCCAAGCAUGAAACGAUAGCAAAGGGAAAAACAGCUAAGUGUUUCCUGGCUGAAUUGUAUUUUGCUUUCAGUUUCUGCCAUUUCAGUUCCUGUUAUCGUGCUUUGAGGUGCACUGAACUGCAGCAAACCCAGAGGAUCCAAGGCUACGCUGAAAAGCCUCUGACCACAGUGCAGGGAGCAGAAGACAUUAAUGACAUGAUGUCGACACAACCCGCACUCAGGAUCCUCCAGGAAAAGAACACAGAGAUAACCCCGGAUCGAUGGUACUUUUUGAAAAUGCUUUACUGCAAAAGAGUGGCUAGGGUUUUACAAGGGCUAUGAAGAAACAUAUUAAGGUUAAUAAAGCUUUUUAUUGAGUGUUUA